Myripristis murdjan (pinecone soldierfish) is the source of this 131-nucleotide small nucleolar RNA. Ensembl annotates it as small nucleolar RNA SNORA3/SNORA45 family. The record is from Ensembl. NCBI's taxonomy places the organism in Eukaryota, Metazoa, Chordata, Actinopteri, Holocentriformes, Holocentridae.
GUAGAGACUAGAGUCUCAUCUUGACACACGUUAUUGUCUUGGUGUGCUAGAGUUCUCUUAGAGAAAAUAACUGGUCCUACUCACCGACUGGCUUCUUGAUGGGUCCGUCAGCCACAUGGACAGUCACAAUU